Molecule: ribosomal RNA, 367 nt
Filed under: uncultured Sphingobacteriales bacterium
Lineage: Bacteria; Pseudomonadati; Bacteroidota; Sphingobacteriia; Sphingobacteriales
Description: bacterial SSU rRNA
Rfam family: Bacterial small subunit ribosomal RNA
Source: RNAcentral
CCCUUCGGGGCGUUUCUACAAGGUGCUGCAUGGUUGUCGUCAGCUCGUGCCGUGAGGUGUCGGGUUAAGUCCCAUAACGAGCGCAACCCUUAUCGUUAGUUGCCAUCUGGUAAAGCAGGGGACUCUAGCGAAACUGCCACCGUAAGGUGAGAGGAAGGUGGGGAUGACGUCAAAUCAGCACGGCCCUUAUGUCCAGGGCUACACACGUGUUACAAUGGUCGGUACAGAGGGCAGCUACCUGGUGACAGGAUGCUAAUCUCGAAAACCGGCCUCAGUUCGGAUCGAAGUCUGCAACUCGACUUCGUGAAGCUGGAUUCGCUAGUAAUCGCGCAUCAGCCAUGGCGCGGUGAAUACGUUCCCGGGCCUU